This 301-nucleotide ribosomal RNA is filed under the name uncultured bacterium. RNAcentral's name for it is "partial 16S ribosomal RNA". It matches the Rfam family "Bacterial small subunit ribosomal RNA", at positions 509 to 807 of the family's 1533-position model. The record is from RNAcentral.
CAGUAGCCGCGGUAACACGGAGGGUGCAAGCGUUAAUCGGAAUUACUGGGCGUAAAGCGCACGCAGGCGGUCUGACAAGUCAGAUGUGAAAUCCCCGGGCUUAACCUGGGAACUGCAUUUGAAACUGUCAGGCUGGAGUCUUGUAGAGGGGGGUGGAAUUCCAGGUGUAGCGGUGAAAUGCGUAGAGAUCUGGAGGAAUACCGGUGGCGAAGGCGGCCCCCUGGACAAAGACUGACGCUCAGGUGCGAAAGCGUGGGGAGCAAACAGGAUUAGAUACCCGCGUAGUCCCUGUCUCUUAUAC